AGAGUUUGAUCCUGGCUCAGGAUGAACGCUAGCGGCAGGCUUAACACAUGCAAGUCGAGGGGUAACAGUAAGAGCUUGCUCUUGCUGACGACCGGCGCACGGGUGCGUAACGCGUAUGAAACUUGCCAAGUACAGGAAGAUAGCCCGGGGAAACCCGGAUUAAUACUCCAUAACGUAUCACAUUCGCAUGUUUGUGAUAUUAAAGCUCCGGCGGUACUUGAUGGUCAUGCGUGACAUUAGAUAGUUGGUGAGGUAACGGCUCACCAAGUCCUCGAUGUCUAGGGGUUCUGAGAGGAUUGUCCCCCACACUGGUACUGAGACACGGACCAGACUCCUACGGGAGGCAGCAGUGAGGAAUAUUGGUCAAUGGGCGCAAGCCUGAACCAGCCAUGCCGCGUGUAGGAUGACUGCCCUAUGGGUUGUAAACUACUUUUGUAUAGGAUGAACAUUUCUACGAGUUAGAGACUUGACAGUACUAUACGAAUAAGGAUCGGCUAACUCCGUGCCAGCAGCCGCGGUAAUACGGAGGAUCCAAGCGUUAUCCGGAUUUAUUGGGUUUAAAGGGUGCGUAGGCUGUUAAAUAAGUCAGUGGUGAAAUCCUAUAGCUCAACUAUAGAACUGCCAUUGAAACUAUUUGACUAGAGUAUGCGUGGAGUUGGCGGAAUGCGACAAGUAGCGGUGAAAUGCAUAGAUAUGUCGCAGAACACCAAUUGCGAAGGCAGCUGACUAAAGCAUAACUGACGCUGAUGCACGAAAGCGUGGGUAUCGAACAGGAUUAGAUACCCUGGUAGUCCACGCUGUAAACGAUGAUAACUGGUUGUGCGCGAUACACAGUGCGCGACUGAGGGAAACCAUUAAGUUAUCCACCUGGGGAGUACGUUCGCAAGAAUGAAACUCAAAGGAAUUGACGGGGGCCCGCACAAGCGGAGGAACAUGUGGUUUAAUUCGAUGAUACGCGAGGAACCUUACCCGGGCUUAAAUGCAGGUUGCAUGAUUCAGAGAUGAAUCUUUCUUUCACGAGACUACCUACAAGGUGCUGCAUGGUUGUCGUCAGCUCGUGCCGUGAGGUGUCGGGUUAAGUCCCAUAACGAGCGCAACCCCUAUCCUUAGUUGCCAACAGGUCAAGCUGGGAACUCUAGGGAGACUGCCGCCGCAAGGCGCGAGGAAGGUGGGGAUGACGUCAAAUCAGCACGGCCCUUACGUCCGGGGCUACACACGUGUUACAAUGGCAGGUACAGAGGGCAGCUACAUGGCGACAUGAUGCUAAUCUCGAAAGCCAGUCUCAGUUCGGAUCGUAGUCUGCAACCCGACUACGUGAAGUUGGAUUCGCUAGUAAUCGCAUAUCGGCCAUGAUGCGGUGAAUACGUUCCCGGGCCAUGUACACACCGCCCGUCAAGCCAUGGAAGCCGGGGGUACCUGAAGUCUGUAACCGCAAGGAGCGGCCUAGGGUAAAACUGGUAACUGGGGCUAAGUCGUAACAAGGUA
This 1485-nucleotide ribosomal RNA is filed under the name metagenome. Its description in RNAcentral is "bacterial SSU rRNA". It matches the Rfam family "Bacterial small subunit ribosomal RNA". The record is from RNAcentral.